Non-coding RNA from Pelobates cultripes (western spadefoot toad), 287 nucleotides. Lineage: Eukaryota; Metazoa; Chordata; Amphibia; Anura; Pelobatidae. The record is from the annotation of a GenBank genome assembly.
GUCACAUUUGGUGGGACUGCACACCGAUCCAGGCAUACUGGGCAGAAAUAAAACAGGAAAUAGCGACAAUCCUGGGUGACAUAACCGAACUCACCAUAGAAGCGGCGCUCUUACACUUCACCAGAAGCACAAUAUCCCAAUAUAAGAGAUCGAUAUUACGACACCUGCUCAACGCGGCUAAAGCACUAAUACCGGCCAGGUGGAAGCGGACGCAACCGCCUACCAAAGCAGAAUGGCUACAGAGAGUCGAGGAGAUCCACACAGCGGAGGCAAGAUACGCAGAACUG